ACAUUAAAUAAUACCUCUUGUAUUGUUGCUACUUGGUUUCGAUGGCUUCUCUCCAACCUUGCAAUAAUGUAUCUGACCCCUUCCAUAAUCUUGUGGGGUUGUUCAGGUGUCAAAUAGAAAAAUUUUGGGUUGAAGUAGUAACCUAAAAAAUAUAUAGGUAGAAAAAUGUCAUUUACAAUUUCAUAAAAAAAUGAUUUAAACUAAAACAAUUGUAAUGAUAUAAAUAUAUAUUUACCAGCAUAAUGAAUUGGACGUCCAAAUUUGGUGUUCCACCUCCUUUAUAUAAUCUCGAUCACUUUGCUAGGAAAAUUACACUUCUCUCCAAUAGCUG
Molecule: long non-coding RNA, 331 nt
Filed under: Amborella trichopoda
Lineage: Eukaryota; Viridiplantae; Streptophyta; Magnoliopsida; Amborellales; Amborellaceae
Description: long non-coding RNA (ATRI_LNC004357)
Source: RNAcentral